UACGAAGGGGGGCUAGCGUUGUUCGGAAUUACUGGGCGUAAAGCGCACGUAGGCGGAUUGUUAAGUCAGAGGUGAAAAUCCCGGAGCUCAACUUCGGAACUGCCUUUGAUACUGGCAAUCUAGAGUCCGGAAGAGGUUAGUGGAAUUCCCAGUGUAGAGGUGAAAUUCGUAGAUAUUGGGAAGAACACCAGUGGCGAAGGCGGCUAACUGGUCCGGUACUGACGCUGAGGUGCGAAAGCGUGGGGAGCAAAACAGG
RNAcentral lists this ribosomal RNA (256 nucleotides) under uncultured bacterium. RNAcentral describes it as "partial 16S ribosomal RNA". It matches the Rfam family "Bacterial small subunit ribosomal RNA", at positions 524 to 776 of the family's 1533-position model. The record is from RNAcentral.